AGUGAACGCUGGCGGUAGGCCUAACACAUGCAAGUCGAACGGCAGCACAGUAAGAGCUUGCUCUUACGGGUGGCGAGUGGCGGACGGGUGAGGAAUACAUCGGAAUCUACUUUUUCGUGGGGGAUAACGUAGGGAAACUUACGCUAAUACCGCAUACGACCUACGGGUGAAAGCAGGGGAUCUUCGGACCUUGCGCGAUUGAAUGAGCCGAUGUCGGAUUAGCUAGUUGGCGGGGUAAAGGCCCACCAAGGCGACGAUCCGUAGCUGGUCUGAGAGGAUGAUCAGCCACACUGGAACUGAGACACGGUCCAGACUCCUACGGGAGGCAGCAGUGGGGAAUAGUGGACAAUGGGCGCAAGCCUGAUCCAGCCAUGCCGCGUGGGUGAAGAAGGCCUUCGGGUUGUAAAGCCCUUUUGUUGGGAAAGAAAAGCAGCAGGUUAAUACCCCGCUGUUCCGACGGUACCCAAAGAAUAAGCACCGGCUAACUUCG
RNAcentral lists this ribosomal RNA (490 nucleotides) under uncultured bacterium. RNAcentral describes it as "partial 16S ribosomal RNA". It matches the Rfam family "Bacterial small subunit ribosomal RNA", at positions 29 to 505 of the family's 1533-position model. The record is from RNAcentral.